CAGUAGUUCAGAUGGUUAGAACGCCGGCCUGUCACGCCGGAGGUCGAGGGUUCAAGUCCCUUCUGG
RNAcentral lists this transfer RNA (66 nucleotides) under marine eukaryotic metagenome. It matches the Rfam family "tRNA", at positions 5 to 66 of the family's 71-position model. Rfam says of the family: Transfer RNA (tRNA) molecules are approximately 80 nucleotides in length. The record is from RNAcentral.